CAUAUACAUAUUGAACAAGCGAGAAGACAGGUGGAAGAUUGUACAACACCAUGUGAUUGCUCUUGUGGUAGAUGUACAAUUGCCCAAUAUUACCCUCUGGGAUUUGGUCGAGAGAAGAAUGAAUUCACUUAAGAGUAAUGCCAUCAAUUUCUGCUGAAGACUGCAUGUGUGUGGUGAAAACCUCAUAAUCAACUGUGUUGAAAGCAGCUGAAAGAUGCUGGUACUGAAUUGACUGCCUUCUCCAGUGUCUGGAAGAGAUUUGGGCAUGGAUAAAGAAACUGGCAGAGACUCAAUUCAGGCCCAAAGUGGUGCACAUGGACAGAAGGAGCCCCACGUGAUCCCGCACCUGUGACCGGGGGCUGCCCUUAACCAACCAGUCAUCCAGAUGGGGGAGAUCUGGACCCCUCGGCGCCUGAGGAGGUCCUGCAAGUAGGUCUGCGCCUUGCUGGAUAGCCCAGAGAGCAGGAGCCACGACACCCUUCACAUGGACACAGCAGAGGCCAUAGACCGUGCGGCUGUGUCAGCUGCAUCCGAAUCUGCCUGCAGGGUUGCCCUGGCGGCCGCUAUACCCUCCUCCACCAGCACUUUGAACUCCUUCCUGUCACGCUCCUGGAGGGAUUGGAGGGAUUGAACUCAUACCGGCCCAGGAGGGCCUGGUGGUUCGCCACCCAUAACUGGAAGCUC
Long non-coding RNA from Mauremys reevesii (Reeves's turtle), 684 nucleotides. RefSeq lists it as uncharacterized. The record is from RefSeq and is a predicted model, not a curated record. The transcript has 4 exons. NCBI's taxonomy places the organism in Eukaryota, Metazoa, Chordata, Testudines, Geoemydidae.